AACGAAGGGGGCUAGCGUUGUUCGGAAUCACUGGGCGUAAAGGGCGCGUAGGCGGCCGCUCAAGUCGGGGGUGAAAGCCUGUGGCUUAACCACAGAAUUGCCUUCGAUACUGUUUGGCUUGAGACCGGAAGAGGUGAGUGGAACUGCGAGUGUAGAGGUGAAAUUCGUAGAUAUUCGCAAGAACACCAGUGGCGAAGGCGGCUCACUGGUCCGGUUCUGACGCUGAGGCGCGAAAGCGUGGGGAGCAAACAGG
Molecule: ribosomal RNA, 253 nt
Filed under: uncultured bacterium
Lineage: Bacteria
Description: partial 16S ribosomal RNA
Rfam family: Bacterial small subunit ribosomal RNA
Source: RNAcentral